RNAcentral lists this unclassified non-coding RNA (314 nucleotides) under plant metagenome. RNAcentral's name for it is "partial contains 5.8S ribosomal RNA, internal transcribed spacer 2, and large subunit ribosomal RNA". The stretch from base 1 to 105 matches the Rfam family "5.8S ribosomal RNA", at positions 50 to 154 of the family's 154-position model. The record is from RNAcentral.
GAAAUGCGAUAAUUAAUGUGAAUUGCAGAAUUCAGUGAAUCAUCGAGUCUUUGAACGCACAUUGCGCCCCCUGGUAUUCCGGGGGGCAUGCCUGUCCGAGCGUCAUUGCUGCCCUCAAGCACGACUUGUGUGUUGGGCUUCCGUCCCUGGCAACGGGGACGGGCCCAAAAGGCAGUGGCGGCACCAUGUCUGGUCCUCGAGCGUAUGGGGCUUUGUCACCCGCUCCCGUAGGUCCAGCUGGCAGCCAGCCUCGCAACCAAUCUUUUUAACCAGGUUGACCUCGGAUCAGGUAGGGAUACCCGCUGAACUUAAGC